Molecule: long non-coding RNA, 1015 nt
Organism: Chinchilla lanigera (long-tailed chinchilla)
Lineage: Eukaryota; Metazoa; Chordata; Mammalia; Rodentia; Chinchillidae
Exons: 2
Source: RefSeq, a predicted model, not a curated record
CACUGCAGCUGCAGAGGGGCUGUCCCUGGUGGCCACGCUGCCCACCGCUCCCCUCUCUGCUCAUCAACAUGGCAUAUUUGCUCCUGGGCACUGCCCAGCCCCAGGCCUGGUGACUCGGGAAAAAGAACACUGGCGGAAAAACAAGUUAAUGAGCUUCUUCAUGGGGAAGAAGCCAUGCCAGGGAGCGGGUAGCUGUCUGGAGCCAGGCCAGGUGGUGCCAGGUGGCCUGACUGCUGGCCUCAGCCCUCCACUGGACAGGAUGCCCAGGAUCCAGUGCAUACAGAAGCAGGGCCAGCUAUGAAAACAUGCAGCAGGCUCUGGGACCAUAGAAGGAGAAAAUGAAGAGGGGGUGGAGUGUACCCUGUCAUCUCUGCUCAUGUGGACCAACUAGCUCUCCUGGUGGACACAGCAGGCCCCACUGAGAUGUUGUGUUGAGCUGCUUUGGCUUUGGCUCCCUCGUUGAAGAACACGCGAUGAUUGUCCGCCUGCUCUGCACUCUGCCCGGUGCCAGAGCACCAUCAACCAGUGAAUCAGUGUAGACCCAGGAAUGCUGUGGCCUGGUGGGGAACGUAGCAAGCCUGCCUUAGGUUGGCUUCGAGAUAAUGAGGCUGUUUUGGAUCCAUAUCAUCUAUAUGAAUUUCUGAAUUAUCUUGUCAAUGGAUGGAAAAAAGCCUGCUGGGAUUUUACUGAAUGACUCGAUCAAUUUGCGAAGAAUUGAUAUCCUAAUAAUAUAAGUCCUCUACCAAAUGCAUGAUCUAUUUCUUUCUUGUUUUCUCUCGGCAAUGCUUUAUAGCUUUUGAUAUAGAAGAUUUUGCAGAGUAUGUUAAAUUCAUCCCUAAGUUUUUGAUGUUUUGAUACUAUUAUAAAUGGUAUUUUAAAGUUAAUUAAUUUUGCAAUACUAGAAAUUGAAGCCAGAGUCUCAUGCACUCAAGGCAAGUGUCUUACCAAUGAGCCACAUCACCAGCCCUUCUACUUUAAAUAGUGUACAGAAAUACAACUGAUUCUCAUAUAUUGA